UAGGGAAUCUUCGGCAAUGGGGGCAACCCUGACCGAGCAACGCCGCGUGAGUGAAGAAGGUUUUCGGAUCGUAAAGCUCUGUUGUAAGUCAAGAACGGGUGUGAGAGUGGAAAGUUCACACUGUGACGGUAGCUUACCAGAAAGGGACGGCUAACUACGUGCCAGCAGCCGCGGUAAUACGUAGGUCCCGAGCGUUGUCCGGAUUUAUUGGGCGUAAAG
This 219-nucleotide ribosomal RNA is filed under the name uncultured bacterium. RNAcentral describes it as "partial 16S ribosomal RNA". It matches the Rfam family "Bacterial small subunit ribosomal RNA", at positions 355 to 565 of the family's 1533-position model. The record is from RNAcentral.